Molecule: long non-coding RNA, 403 nt
Filed under: Rattus norvegicus (Norway rat)
Lineage: Eukaryota; Metazoa; Chordata; Mammalia; Rodentia; Muridae
Description: long non-coding RNA NONRATT002690
Source: RNAcentral
GUGGGCUGCUGUGUCUGGGAGAACAUGUAGAAUGUGCUGUCUGCUGAGUGCUACUUGGUGGUGGCUUAUGAGUCUUGUUUAACAUUAUGGUGGCGAGAAUCCCUUCCCCCAGUACUACCUAAGUGAGAGGGAAUGGAGGAACUGUCCUGUUGUGUGAGGAGGAUGGGAGCUUGUAGGUCUGUGUUGGCCAUGCAGCAGUGUCUGCUCAGGCUUGGCCGCAGCUCCCGCUAGCUGCCAUCCUCAUGCACAUGGUCACACGCUUGCUCUUUUCUCUGCUCUAUUAGCCUGUUUUUGAAGUGGUUUAUUUCCCUUCAGAGUUCUGCUUGAGUAAUAGAUGCCGUGUUGUCUCCAGUAAGUGAGACUGUAUUUUUUCACUGCCCAAAGUGUACUGCCUCAGGGAAAC